RNAcentral lists this ribosomal RNA (995 nucleotides) under uncultured bacterium. RNAcentral's name for it is "bacterial SSU rRNA". It matches the Rfam family "Bacterial small subunit ribosomal RNA", at positions 355 to 1375 of the family's 1533-position model. The record is from RNAcentral.
UGGGGAAUAUUGCACAAUGGGGGAAACCCUGAUGCAGCGACGCCGCGUGGAGGAAGAAGGUCUUCGGAUUGUAAACUCCUGUUGUUGAGGAAGAUAAUGACGGUACUCAACAAGGAAGUGACGGCUAACUACGUGCCAGCAGCCGCGGUAAAACGUAGGUCACAAGCGUUGUCCGGAAUUACUGGGUGUAAAGGGAGCGCAGGCGGGCGAUCAAGUUGGAAGUGAAAUCCAUGGGCUCAACCCAUGAACUGCUUUCAAAACUGAUUGUCUUGAGUAGUGCAGAGGUAGGCGGAAUUCCCGGUGUAGCGGUGGAAUGCGUAGAUAUCGGGAGGAACACCAGUGGCGAAGGCGGCCUACUGGGCACCAACUGACGCUGAGGCUCGAAAGUGUGGGUAGCAAACAGGAUUAGAUACCCUGGUAGUCCACACCGUAAACGAUGAUUACUAGGUGUUGGAGGAUUGACCCCUUCAGUGCCGCAGUUAACACAAUAAGUAAUCCACCUGGGGAGUACGACCGCAAGGUUGAAACUCAAAGGAAUUGACGGGGGCCCGCACAAGCAGUGGAGUAUGUGGUUUAAUUCGACGCAACGCGAAGAACCUUACCAAGUCUUGACAUCCUGCGACGAUGCUAGAAAUAGUGUUUUCCUUCGGGACGCAGAGACAGGUGGUGCAUGGUUGUCGUCAGCUCGUGUCGUGAGAUGUUGGGUUAAGUCCCGCAACGAGCGCAACCCUUAUGGUCAGUUACUACGCAAGAGGACUCUGGCCAGACUGCCGUUGACAAAACGGAGGAAGGUGGGGAUGACGUCAAAUCAUCAUGCCCUUUAUGACUUGGGCUACACACGUACUACAAUGGCGUUAAACAAAGAGAAGCAAGACCGCGAGGUGGAGCAAAACUCAGAAACAACGUCCCAGUUCGGACUGCAGGCUGUAACUCGCCUGCACGAAGUCGGAAUUGCUAGUAAUCGCAGAUCAGCAUGCUGCGGUGAAUACGUUCCC